AGGAAUGUGCCCGAAAUUUAAGGACUACUUUGAUAGAGUACGACACAGGGGUUAAAACCCCCUCAUUCCC
Molecule: transfer RNA, 70 nt
Filed under: Paracontias brocchii
Lineage: Eukaryota; Metazoa; Chordata; Lepidosauria; Squamata; Scincidae
Description: tRNA-Ile
Source: RNAcentral